Molecule: long non-coding RNA, 3276 nt
Organism: Amaranthus tricolor (Joseph's coat)
Lineage: Eukaryota; Viridiplantae; Streptophyta; Magnoliopsida; Caryophyllales; Amaranthaceae
Exons: 4
Source: RefSeq, a predicted model, not a curated record
CAAAACCCACGGCUCCCACUCCCUCUCUUACCCUAACUCCCUCUUCUAUCUCCCUUCUUCCUCCAUUCUUUCCCCUCACAGGAAAAAUCUCCUACCGUCAUCACCAGGCCAGCCAGGCUGCAGCAGGCCACGAAGCCCAGCAGCCCUUCUCCUCCUCCUUUUAUUGUUGGAGACGACAUCAUCGAGGAACCUUUCUAGUGAUCGUGAAAAAACGGACUUCGCCUCUUGAAGCGUUGUUGCUGAUUACAGAUCGGAUCCGGUCGGGAAUAAUCGGGUUAGCAAUGUUGAUGAGAGUGUUAAGGAUGUCCUUUUGAGCUGAGACCGUGGAAGCUUAUAGUUUGUAUUAGGAAUUUGUUUAAUGUAUAUUAGUUCUGAUUAUGUUGAUUAUAAUGGACUCGUAGUGAGUUGUAUGAUUACUUUAUGUUUAGACUAGAUAUUUGGUUUGAGAUUUAGCUGUGUGGGUUUCGUAAUAGAGUUGGUGAUUCCUUUGCCCAGGUUUUGGGAUAUGAUUUAAGUUUCUUGGGAAAUAAUCCCCGUGACGACCCUGUUUACCCAGUCAACGGUAAGUCGGGUUGUUACACCUCCUUUGUUUUGUGGAACUAAUUUCUCUCAUUAGAAAACUUUGAUGAAGAUAUUUGUGAUUGAUCAAGAUAUAGAACUUUGGGACAUCAUAACCAAAGGACCUAAGGUGCCAAUGAAAAAGGACACUCAGGGCAAUGAUGUUGAAAAAUCCGAGUCUGAAUACUCACAAAGUGAUUUGGAAUCCGUGUUUAAAAACUAUAGAUCAAUGGAUCAAUUGUGUUGUGCUUUAAAUGGUACCGAGUUCAAUAGGUUUCAUUAUGCACAAGUGCUAAGAAAAUAUGGGAUAAGUUGGUUGUGACGUAUGAAGGAACAAGUCAAGUUAAGGAGACAAAGGUCAACAUCCUCAUGCAUCAAUAUGAAAUGUUCAAGAUGAAAAAGGAUUAGAAUAUUAAUCAAAUGUUUUUUCGUUUUACAUUGAUUACUAACAGUUUGAAUUUUCUUGGUAAAACUUUUAUUAAUGCUGAAAAAGUCCAGAAGGUCUUGAGGUGUCUUCCAAGAUCUAAAUGGGGUCUAAACGUAACUGCCAUUGAAGAAGCUUAAGACUUGGUUGUACUAUCACUUGACGAUCUACUUGGAAAGCUCACAACUCAUGCACUUACCUUACAUGAUGAUGGAGAAAGUGAUGUAACACCAUCCAUGAAGAAUCUUGCACUAAAGGCAAAGAAACAUUAAGAAUCCUCAAUUGAAAAUGAGGAAAUUGAUGAUGAGGAAUAUCCAUUUGUCUUAAUCACAAGAGGUCUAGAAGAAAUCAUGAAAAUGCAAAAAAGAUAUAAAAAGUUCAAAUCUAGAAACAAAGGUAAAUCUUCUAAUUCCAAUUCUAAAAUUAACAAACUUGCUUGUUUUGAGUGUGAAUCUUCAGAGCAUCUUGUAAAGGAAUGUCCUAAAAAGAAAAAGGAAUACUACAAGAAAAACAAGAAGAAACAAGCAAUGGUUGCUAAGUGGAGUGACUCCGAAGGGUUAACCGAAUCGAAAAUUGAAGAUGGUCAAGCUCACUUAUGUCUAAUGGCAAAUGAUGACAAAGAUGACAAUCUAAAACAAAACCAUAAGGAGGAAAAACAAAAAUGGAUCUUAGAUAAUGGAUGUUCGAGACAUAUGAGUGGUAAAGUUUCUUUAUUUUCUGAAAUUAAAUAAAAGUGUAAUGGCUCGAUUACUUUAGGUGACAAAGGUAAAUGCAAAAUAUUAGGUGUUGACAAAGUUGGUAAGGAUCCUUUUAAAGUUAUUGAUAAUGUUUUAUUUGGUUAAAGGUCUAAAAUUUAAUUUGCUAAGUGUGUCUUAAUUAUGCGAUAAAGGUAAUCAAGUAAUUUUUGAUAAAGAAAAAUGUGUUGUCAAAAACCCUAACACCGGAGAUACAUUUAUUACCGCCCUUAUACAUAAAAAUGUUUAUGGUUUGAAUAUUAACGAAAUUGCAGCUUAAAAUUUCAAGUGUUUAAAGGCUAUAACGGAUGAUCCAAAGCUAUAGCAUAGAAGGCUUGGUCACAUCAAUACGCACACCAUGCACGAAUUAGCAAGUAAAGAUCUGGUUUAUGGACUUCCAACUCUUGACAACAAGCACAAUCCUUCAUGUGAUGCAUGCAUUAGAGGUAAACAAGUGAGAAGUUCAUUUAAAUCAAAGAAAAUGGUAAGCACUUCAAAACCAUGUGUACUUCUACAUGUUGUUCUAUGUGGUGCAAUGCGUGUAAGGAGCACAAGAGGUAAAUCUUAUAUUCUAGUAAUCAUUGAUGAUUGUUCUAGAUUUACGUGGAUUGACUUUUUAAAGGAUAAAGGUGAAGCCUUGAAGCCGUUUUCAAAAUGUUGUAAAGAAAUGCAAACUCAAUUAAAUCUUCCAAUAGUUUCGGUUAAAAGUGAUCAUGGGAGAGAGUUUGAUCAACUAGGCUUUAAUUCUUUUUGUGAAAAAUACGGUAUCACCUAUUACUUUUCAUCUCCUAAGACACCACAACAAAAUGGUGUGGUUGGAAGGAAAAAUCACACUUUAGAAGAAAUGGCUAGGACUAUGCUCAUAGAAAAUGGAUUAGUCAAACAUUAUUGGGUCGGGAAGUUAAUAUAGCAACCUAUGUCUUAAAUAGGUGUCCCAUUAUACCUAUACUUAAGAAAACCCCCUACGAGUUAUUUAAGGUAGAAAACCAAAUAUAGCCUACCUUAGACCAUUUGGUUGUAAGUGUUUUAUCCAUAAUAAUGGUAAGGAUAAUCUUGGUUACUCAUUAAAUAGUAAGGCUUAUAGAGUGCUAAAUAAGUGAACAAGUACGGUUGAGGAAAGCAUAGAUGUGGUAUUUGAUGAAUCCGACAAUGGAAUAUUAAGUGAAGUUUUUAAAGAGUUAAACCUUAACAAAUCUUUUGAUGAUGUAAGUGAUGAUGAAAUAGAUGCCAAUGAUCAUAAUGAAGAUAAAAAGAAGAAUAUGCAAGAUCCUAUACAAAGUCUUGAUGAGGAUGAAGAAAACAGGUUGAGCUCAUUGAAUACUCACAGCCUGAUCUUGAGACCUAACCUCAAGACCUGGAAAAAGCUCCUGAACGUACUGAUUUAAAUACUCCAACAAAAGAUUCCUCGAAGGAAGUAGGAACGAGCUCUCUAAAUGAUCACACACCAUCCAUACUAAGAAGAAGGUUUAGAUUGUCAUCUCAACAUCCUCCAGAAAACAUCAUAAGUGAUCCAAACAAAGAACCAAAGGAUAUAAAAGAAGCAAUACAAGAACCAGAUUG